Molecule: ribosomal RNA, 455 nt
Filed under: Weissella cibaria
Lineage: Bacteria; Bacillati; Bacillota; Bacilli; Lactobacillales; Lactobacillaceae
Description: partial 23S ribosomal RNA
Rfam family: Bacterial large subunit ribosomal RNA
Source: RNAcentral
GGUUAAGUUAUUAAGGGCGCAUGGUGGAUGCCUUGGCACUAGGAGCCGAUGAAGGACGGGACUAACACCGAUAUGCUUCGGGGAGCUGUAAGUAAGCUUUGAUCCGGAGAUUUCCGAAUGGGGGAACCCAACUUGUUAUGCAAGUUAUCACCUAAUGAAUAUAUAGUUAGGUUGAAGGUAGACGUUGUGAACUGAAACAUCUCAUUAGCAACAGGAAUAGAAAGAAAAAUCGAUACCGUCAGUAGCGGCGAGCGAAAUCGGUAGAGCCCAAACCAAAGUGCUUGCACUUUGGGGUUGUAGGACUGACAUUGUGGAGUUACAAAGUUAACAUUUAGCAGAAUCAGCUGGGAAGCUGAGCGAGACAGGGUGAUAGCCCCGUAUGCGAAAAAUGUUGACCUCCCGUCAGGAUCCUGAGUACGGCCGGACACGUGAAAUCCGGUCGGAAUCCGCGAGGA